Molecule: long non-coding RNA, 4795 nt
Filed under: Podarcis lilfordi (Lilford's wall lizard)
Lineage: Eukaryota; Metazoa; Chordata; Lepidosauria; Squamata; Lacertidae
Source: RNAcentral
GGAGGAGGAGGCGGCGAUGCGCGUCGGAGAUGCGCGUCAGCGCCGCCUUCUCCCGACGGUCCCGCCGCAGCUGCCGCCUUGGCCGCCCGGCUUCUGGGCCUUCCCGGAGAGCGGGAGAUAAAAGGGACAUCCUCUUUCUCCUCCCCCGGAACAGACCGAGCGACUAGCGUGGAGGGCGGGGAAUAAUACCCUGUGAGGGAACGGGGAAUCCGCCUCGCGAAGGAAAAAGCCCCCGAGUGGGAAAGGCUGGCAGGUCGCCACAGGCUUUCCCUGGACUUGCCAGCCAGACUCUGCCUGUAGGAGUUGCCAAAAUUUAUGUUGAGGUAGCGGGGAGGGAACACGCGAACGUGUGAACGUCGCACUUGCAGCUUUGCCUGGGGAAAGCCCCGGGGAAACCUUUACUGCGGUUUGUGUGAAACGGGCCCUCCGUGCGUGACAUAUAGGGAAGUGCAAUCCACUGUCUCUCGAGACAGAUGCCAAUAACAGGUUUCCUUCCUCUGCGCUUUCCCCAUUUUAUCCUCACAACAACCCUGUGAGGCAGUUGUGUAGUAGUGAGUCACCCAACAGGCUUUGUGGCUGAGUGAGGAUCUGAUGGUCCCGUCUUCACAAUCCUAGGCCUACACUUUACCACACUUGAGUGGUUUUAAUUCUGUUCACUGGCUGUUUGGUUGGUUGUAUCGCCACCUCUCUUCUUUUUUUCAAUAAGGUAAAGAGUGUCAUACCGACGACCUUCUGAUCAGCAAGUCCUAGGCUCUGGUUUAAUCCACAGCGCCACCCGCCUCCCUCUGCAGGUCAUUGUAGCUACCUCUGAUCCAGCUUGGAGGAAACCAACAAGUCUGAAUUGUACCUUUGUACAAUUGGAUAGGGGACGUGGGUGGCGCUGUGGUCUAAACCACUGAGCCUCUUGGGCUUGCCGAUCAGAAGGUCGGUGGUUCGAAUCUCCGUGACGGGGUGAGCUCCCGUUGCUUGGUCCCAGCCCCUGCCAACCUAGCAGUUUGAAAGCACGCCAAAAAGUGCAUUUAGAUAAAUACGGUAGGAAGGUAAAACUGUGUUUCCAUGCGCUGCUCUGGUUUCGGUGUUCCAUUGUGCCAGAAGCAACUUAGUCAUGCUGGCCACAUGACCCGGAAGCUGUCUGCGGACAAACGCCAGCUCCCUCGGCCUGUAAAGCGAGAUGAGGUCCACAACCCCAGAGUUGUCUGCAGCUGGACUUAACUGUCAGGAGUCCUUUACCUUUACAUUACAAUUGGAUAGUUACAUGCACACUUCAGGCAAGCAAGUAGCAUUAUUCAGAGCUCAAGGGCACCAAACCACUCAAGUAGGGUGCAAAACAGGGCCACUGAAGGCUGUGACCUGGGAAGAGUCCUAAGAGCCAGAAAUAGAGGCUUGGAAAGUCUCCAGAUCUGAGGUUCCAUUUCCCUGGGCUAGAGUAUAGAAGCCCCAUCGUGAACUAUUAACCUAUGGUUAUAUGAUUUGUGUGUAACUUUCUGAGGUCAAAGGCCUGAGCUUUAACCUUGUGCAACUUCUUUUUAACAUCUAUGUACCUAUCAGGAUUCCCAAAAAAUGUAGUUUGUGACUGCAACAUCUAUGACUCUCAGGCAGGAACUCCUUUCCAAUUUCGUUGCUUCUUCCUACUAUGCUACCAGGAAGUUUGCAGUAUCUCUUCUUGUUGCUGCUUCCCCUUAUGCACAUAAACCAAUAUACAAUGGUACCUCAUGUUAAGUUCUGGCUUCUGAGAUUCAGAAUUUUUUUUUCUUGUUUCCUCCUCCAAAAACUAAGUGCGUCUUGUGGUCUGGUACAUCUUAUAGAGCGAAAAAUACGGUACUUAAUUCGUUCCAGGGGUCCGUUCUUAACCUGAAACUGUUCUUAACCUGAGGUACCACUUUAGCUAAUGGAGUCUCCCGCUGCCGCCUCGUGAUUUCUGUUCUCACCCUGAAGCAAAGUUCUUAACCCGAGGUACUAUUUCUGGGUUAGCGGAUUCUGUAACCUGAAGCGUCUGUAACCCGAGGUAUCACUGUACUCCUGAUAUAGACAUUGUUCUGAACAUUACUGUCUGUGUGGAAUCAGUGGCACUAAAUUAGGACUUCGUCCUUUUCCUGGCAAGCCCGUAACCUAUCACUUAUCCAGGAUGACCAGUAGGCUAUAGGGUUUUAUUUGCUACAUUUACAUGCCCUCUUUCCAUGGUAGAAAUAAAGGAAGAAUGUGUAGGAUUCCCUCACAGUGCUCCAUCCACACACUCACCCACCCUGGGCCUGGUCGGCUUCAUCAAUAAUAUCACAUCGUGUAUCUUCACACCAUGCUGCUGACUGUUACAGUUGGCAUUCCUCUGGCUGGCCCUGGCUGUUUACCUGCCAAACUGGCUGUAGAGUUGUGCUGGCUGUGUUUAGUCUUUAAACCUCUGAGUAAGCUUGUGUCUGUGGGUGUUGCUGCCCUCCUGACUGAAGAGUCAUGAAGAUCUCUAACGAGGGGGACACUAUGGCUGGGGUCCCCAACAUGGUGUCUCUGGCACCAUGCUCCCCUCAGACACCCUGCUUGGUACUUACCAAGGCCACUGGGUACACCCAGUUUUUAAUCUUUGUAAAAGAACAUCAAGCAAUUAAGGACAGCUUUUGGAUGAGUUGAAUAUUUUGCUUGUUUGGUGGAAAAGGUUCUGCACGCCACCAUUUUUUCUUCCACGAAAUGGGUGUUUUGUGGUGCAGUUCUUAGGUCUUCAAAUGGGCAUUCCGCACCCCAGAGUUGGAGACCCCCUGACCACACAAUGGGCUCUCCUUGAUAACAUGCCCAUGGCACAAGCCAGCAGGGCUUUGUAAGUGACAAAUCUGUCACUUCACUCUCCUAUUGUUGUCCCCAUUAGCAAAUACUAAUGCUAUCUGCUUUUUUUUGCUUAGAGAGCAAAAAAACCUAGUAGAUAACCAUUUAAAUAAUGUAAGAAUUGCUUUUUGUGAUCAUUGUUUUCUCAAAACAGUUUGGAGUUUUAAGAACUGUGAAACUAGGAAACGUAAUGCCUUAAGAUGAAGUUUGAAAUUUAAGAGUCUUAUAAGAAAAAACAGUAUGCACAAUACAAGGUAUUUAAACUACAAGAUUUUGGCCAUUUCACUUUCUGUUAAAAUGAGUUCUGUGGUGUCUCUUAACGCAAUAACUUUUGGACAUUAACAAAGCUGAAUGUUGGAAGAUUCGGAUAAAAGAAAGUACUUCAUACAGCGCAUAGUUAAACUGCAGAACUUGCUUCCACAUGAGGCAUUGAGGCCACCAAUUUAAACAGCUUUAAAAGAGGAUUAGACAAAUUCAGGAAAGAGGGCUAUCAAACACUAUCAGCCCUGAUGGCUCUGCUCUGCCUAUAAUAUCAGUUGCAGGAGAGUUUCCCACAGGGAUCUGGUUCAUCACUGUGAGAACAGGAUGCUGGACUAGAUGGGCCACUGGUCCUGAUCCAGCAGGCUCCUCUUAAAGAAUGGCUCAGGCCGACAAACAUCUGUAUGAUUUGUACACAGUGUGUGAAAUCUGGGAAAUCAAAUAGUGCAAUUAGCUCAAGAGAUAUACUAAAGAUGUAUACCGUGAAGCUGUUGUUAUUCCGAUGUUCUUCCAACUUCUCUGUUCAUCUCAAAGCUAAUUUAUGGAACAGGAAUGGCCUCUGAAAACUGGAGGAGCAUCUGCUAAUCUCUUUUUCUCAGAAUGUUCUCACCCUGCAGGGAAGAUCUUGUAAGGCCUUAAGAGGUACUGCCUCUGGGGAACCACACCCAUAGCUUCACUUGCAGAAAUAUUGAGAAUCAAGAACUACAGAGUUGGAAAGGGAUCCAAUGCAACUAUCCAGAUCAACCCACCAAGCCUUCAAGGAUAUAUUAAAAGCAGGCUUCCUCAAACUUGGCUCUCCAGAUGUUUUUGAGACCACAAUUCCCAUCAUCCCUGACCACUGGGACUGCUAGCUAGGGAUCAUGGGAGUUGUAGGCCAAAAACAUCUGGAGGGCCGAGUUUAGGAAGCCUGAUUAAAAGUACCGGUAACUAGAGAGGAGGCCUCUGCUCCUAUAAUUUGCUCAAAUUGCCUCUUGCUGCCCUCUGCUGCCACCUGGAGGCUGGUUAAUAAAUAACGAGUCAGUUCUGGUUGCAACUAGUGCCUGCUUAAAGAUGGGUCAAUGAAUUCUAGCGUAAUGAGAAUUGAUGAUUACAGUUACUUAUGUUGUUGCUGCAAUCAGCUAAAUGAAACCAUAUUCCCUUCCAUGCAUUAAAAUCUUCUGAGGAGGGUUUCCACCCCACCCUAGCUCCACAAGGGACCCCACUAGCAAAGGCAGGCCGUGGGUUUAUCCUAGAGCAAUUUCAGUUGUUGGCUAGGAUGCUUACUGUCUUAAUAUGUACUCCCAGAUACAAGUGUCAUAAUGUCAGGAAACUCUUGUGUAUUAGAUAGAGGUAAGAAAAAGAUAGCUACGGAAUAUUAGGGUGUGGUGAUUGCUGCUCAGAGUCAGAGCUCCAGUCGUGUGCAAUCUACCUUGUGUGAAUUGCUGCUAGUCCACAGAAACUAGCAGACCAAGACGUGGGUGUUGUAUCUGCUGUUGCACCAAAAACAGAGCUGUGCUAUCCCUAAACAAGAGGUGAUUUGAAAAGUCAGGGACUACGGCUGGUAGCAGGCGGAGCCAGGACCAAAAGAUGGUGGAAUUUGCAGCUCCUCCUCUCUCUGUGUCACCUCAUUCGGUCUCUUACAUUUCCCUUCCUCUCUCACACAAAGCAAAAGAGGAUAUGCUUCUCAGAAGGGCAGUUUGGAGAGCAAAAAGUGAGCCUACAUUAUCCAGAGAACAAGGUGACACUAAGG